UGCCAGCCGCCGCGGUAAUACGGAGGGUGCAAGCGUUAAUCGGAAUUAUUGGGCGUAAAGCGCACGCAGGCGGCUUGUUAAGUCAGAUGUGAAAGCCCCGGGCUCAACCUGGGAACUGCAUUUGAAACUGACAAGCUAGAGUCUUGUAGAGGGGGGUAGAAUUCCAGGUGUAGCGGUGAAAUGCGUAGAGAUCUGGAGGAAUACCGGUGGCGAAGGCGGCCCCCUGGACAGAGACUGACGCUCAGGUGCGAAAGCGUGGGGAGCAAACAGGAUUAGAUA
RNAcentral lists this ribosomal RNA (279 nucleotides) under uncultured bacterium. RNAcentral describes it as "partial 16S ribosomal RNA". It matches the Rfam family "Bacterial small subunit ribosomal RNA", at positions 506 to 784 of the family's 1533-position model. The record is from RNAcentral.